RNAcentral lists this small nucleolar RNA (133 nucleotides) under Nannospalax galili (Upper Galilee mountains blind mole rat). Its description in RNAcentral is "Small nucleolar RNA U109 (ENSNGAG00000008090.1)". It matches the Rfam family "Small nucleolar RNA U109". Lineage: Eukaryota; Metazoa; Chordata; Mammalia; Rodentia; Spalacidae. The record is from Rfam by way of RNAcentral.
UUGCAUGUGGAAAAUACCUUCUCCUCAUUCUUUUGGAGCAAGAACACAUCCUACAUGCUACACUAAAAAAGGAGUUCUCAGGGCUGCCAACCUUCCAGUAGAGGUUGAGUGGUAGUAUAUUUCUCCUACAUAA